This is a long non-coding RNA of Rhea pennata, 1871 nucleotides long. RefSeq lists it as uncharacterized. The record is from RefSeq and is a predicted model, not a curated record. Lineage: Eukaryota; Metazoa; Chordata; Aves; Rheiformes; Rheidae. The transcript is spliced from 2 exons.
GAGCCCUCAGCAGGAAUGAUCAACGAACUGGUCUCUUCGCAAACCCUCACCGAGCCCUAUUCUGUUAUGGGAAGAGAGACGUCACCUUCUGCCACCCCAUGAAGCUCAGCAAGGGAUUCCUGUCCCUGGAAUCAAGGGAUUCCUGCCACGCGCACAGGCUGGGAUCGGAGCUUGGAGCUCAGAUGUCAGACACGGGGAGGGAGGAAAGCCGCUUGUGAAGACCCUGCCGCGAAAGGGAGAGGGCUCCGCGUGGUUUACCGGUUGCUUUUUCCCUGGGCACCGCAGACAGCAGGCGUCCACGCUAACCCCCUCCGCCCGGAGGACAUGCAGGCACAGACUCGGGACAAGACACCCACAAAGCAGCAGCAGCAGCUGUUACUUCCAAGCUGGUAAAAAGUCUCAAUCACCCAGACUUCCGCUUCCAGAUCACCUCGAGCACACAGAGGAAAAACGGGAGGAGGGGGUCAAGACCGGCGAGAGAGGUAGGGUGAGGAGCAGGGGAGAGCGCGUAAAACCUUCGCAGCGGAAGAGGAUACGCAAGAACCCCUUCCUAUCCGCUUACAGCAAGAGGAGGAGGAACGAGACAGCUAACUUAUUGCUGGCAAACUGAAUAUUCCCCGGCGGGCUCUUCCCUCUCUCCACAGGAGGCUCCCGUUCAUCUGCACGGCUACAUCUGCCUUCCGCACCUCGGCCCUCCGGGCCGCGCGCUUCGCCCCCGCGCUGCCGGGGCCGCGCCAGGUCUGGAGGGACGGGACCCCCCGGACCUCCGCCAAGCCUCUCCCGCCUCCGUCCUCCACGCACACACACAGGCACAACGCCUCUCCGUAUCCGCGCCCGCGGGAAGGAGGGGAGCUCGAGCCCCACGAGGAGACAGCCUGCCCUCUUUGAAAUCCCUGGGCCGGAGGGAAGCGGCGGCGCAGCUGAGCUCGCAGCUCCCCGCCGGGGACCGCGGCAGCAGUUCCGGGCGCUUAGGACUGGCAGCAUCGGUUUGUGCAAGGAAAGCUGCCUCCUUUGAGGAGGAGAGACAGUGCAGUUGUGUCUGCCGUGGCUUACGAAGUCCGUGCUGACUUCUUUUUAAAAUCAGAAUCUUCCCUGUGUUUAAAUAUCUGCCAGCGCUAAACUUCUAUACUUAAAAAAAUAUAUAUCCCAUAUGUGGAUUUCACUAGUGAAAUGCACCCCCCACCCACCCCCCUGCCCUUCUCUUGCACGCACGCACGCACCACACACAAACACACACACAGAGCAGCUCUAUCAAAUACUGGUUUGGUACUUAAGAUGUUUUCUCCAAUACUGAGAGGGAAAAAUACAUAAGCACAAUCAACCCCAGCUAAGUAGCUCAGCAACACUUCCCAAAAGCGAAGGUCCUUGGAGCUGGAAGACUAGGUGGAUAAAAAUUACCCACCAGGAAACAAAAAUUAAAAAAAAUUAAAAAAUUAUAUAAUAUAUAUUUAUAUAUCUUAACAGACUGCUUAUAGCUCAGUUGUGCCAACCACAAAAACACGCACACUGCCUCUGCUUUUUCCUCUCAGAUUGUGAAGCCAAUAAUAAAAUGGUGCCCCCUCUUCCCCACCCCAAAAACUGCAUGCUGCAUGGUGCCUUUCAGACCAGGAACAGGGCUGUGGGUGAGCGAGUGUCUUCCUCCAGUAAGAACAAAGACAUUUUUAUUUACAAAAAAAGGAGAGAAAAGUUUCCACACAAAAGCACUACAAUGAUAACUCCCUUUGGUAAAAAGUGUAAUAAAUGCCUUCGUAGGUCUGUCUGUAGGUACUAAUUCUCAAGCCACCUGGUACUAUGGUACACAAGAAGCUAGUACAGUUAUGCUAGCACAUCAAGCAUACUUCCUUUAAUAAAAAACAAAAAAAAUUUGACAA